UCAAACUUGGUCAUUUAGAGGAAGUAAAAGUCGUAACAAGGUUUCCGUAGGUGAACCUGCGGAAGGAUCAUUAUUGAAUAAACUUGGUAGGUUGUUGCUGGCUCAUCUUGGGCAUGUGCACGCCUUCCACUAGUUUUUCCAACCCCCUGUGCACCUUUUGUAGACUGGAGGAAACAUAUCUCGGGCUUCUGCUCGGCUUUUGAGAACCUGCUGUGUUGCACACAAGUGUGUCCCCAGCUGUUCUUGUGUCCCUUCUAGUCUAUGUUUUAUUAUAACACCUCAUGUAUGUAUCAGAAUGUAUUGUUGGGCCUAUUAGUGCCUUUAAUUCUAAUACAACUUUCAACAACGGAUCUCUUGGCUCUCGCAUCGAUGAAGAACGCAGC
RNAcentral lists this unclassified non-coding RNA (383 nucleotides) under uncultured fungus. Its description in RNAcentral is "partial contains small subunit ribosomal RNA, internal transcribed spacer 1, and 5.8S ribosomal RNA". The stretch from base 1 to 73 matches the Rfam family "Eukaryotic small subunit ribosomal RNA", at positions 1759 to 1831 of the family's 1831-position model. Lineage: Eukaryota; Fungi. The record is from RNAcentral.